This is a long non-coding RNA of Cucumis sativus (cucumber), 890 nucleotides long. RefSeq lists it as uncharacterized. The record is from RefSeq and is a predicted model, not a curated record. NCBI's taxonomy places the organism in Eukaryota, Viridiplantae, Streptophyta, Magnoliopsida, Cucurbitales, Cucurbitaceae. The transcript is spliced from 2 exons.
AAAGUUAAAUGAUCGUUUGAAUGCUAAAUAAUCACGUAAGAAAGAUAAACAAUCGUAUGAAAAGUUAGACGAUCGUGUAGAUAACUAAAUGAUCGUGUAGGAGGUUGUAGGCAAAAAAGAAAAUUUAAAGAAGCACUCGUUCAACACUAAGAAUUAGGCAUCCUGAUGUGACCAGGUGAGAAAGAGUUUAGUAUUUUAAGAAGAUAAGGUAAGCAUUUCAAGAGAUAUGUCUAACCUUGAGUUGAUGGUUGGUUGCAUGUUGAGCUUAAGAUGGUAGCAUGGUCUAAUGAGUUAUAAGUUUAAGUGUUGAUCUGCUUGUUGAGAAUCACUAGGCGAGAAGAAGAAGCCAAAGUUAAGCAUUUUGAAAUGAAGAAAACUAAGCAUUUUGUGAGUGAUUUUUAUAAAGGAUUUGAACAAAAGAAGAAGCUAGCAAAUCAUAGAGGAACUUUCCUGAAGACUACACAAGAAGACUUUAUUACUACGCGAGAAGAGGUUCGUCAGAAGACAAAAGUGGUGCACAUGGAGUUUAUGUGACUUGAGAUAGGUAGCUUUCGAUGCUGACAUGCAUGUUCAGGAGAUAGAAGUUUCUAGCCCGAAUCUACCUAUAAAAUGAUUCCAUCACCAUAAGAAGGAGAGCAAAGUCUGAAUUGACCGUCACAAAGAGGCCUGAAUGGGCUAAAUCCUAGAGAGUGGUAGAAAGGAAUCCCUUACCAUCAUUUGUAAAACAUUUCUUCUUCUUCUCCAGUUAGUCUGUAAGUGAGAACUUGAGAUCUGAGUAGAGAAAAGUUCAUCCCUCAUCUUCCUCUAACUUGUAAUGUAAUUUCUACUUUUUCCAUUUUUGUACUUAUUUAUAAUGUGUUUAUUCAUAUUGUACAAUUGCCAAAGGCCUA